This 212-nucleotide ribosomal RNA is filed under the name Haemophilus influenzae. Its description in RNAcentral is "partial 16S ribosomal RNA". It matches the Rfam family "Bacterial small subunit ribosomal RNA", at positions 585 to 797 of the family's 1533-position model. Lineage: Bacteria; Pseudomonadati; Pseudomonadota; Gammaproteobacteria; Pasteurellales; Pasteurellaceae. The record is from RNAcentral.
AAGUGAGGUGUGAAAGCCCCGGGCUUAACCUGGGAAUAGCAUUUCAGACUGGGUAACUAGAGUACUUUAGGGAGGGGUAGAAUUCCACGUGUAGCGGUGAAAUGCGUAGAGAUGUGGAGGAAUACCGAAGGCGAAGGCAGCCCCUUGGGAAUGUACUGACGCUCAUGUGCGAAAGCGUGGGGAGCAAACAGGAUUAGAUACCUGGUAGUCCA